RNAcentral lists this ribosomal RNA (323 nucleotides) under uncultured Alteromonadaceae bacterium. RNAcentral describes it as "bacterial SSU rRNA". It matches the Rfam family "Bacterial small subunit ribosomal RNA", at positions 523 to 844 of the family's 1533-position model. The record is from RNAcentral. Lineage: Bacteria; Pseudomonadati; Pseudomonadota; Gammaproteobacteria; Alteromonadales; Alteromonadaceae.
AUACGGAGGGUGCGAGCGUUAAUCGGAAUUACUGGGCGUAAAGCGCACGCAGGCGGUCUGUUAAGCUAGAUGUGAAAGCCCCGCGCUCAACGUGGGAGGGUCAUUUAGAACUGGCAGACUAGAGUCUUGGAGAGGGGAGUGGAAUUCCAGGUGUAGCGGUGAAGUGCGUAGAGAUCAGGAGGAACAUCAAUGGCGAAGGCAACUUACUGGACAUUUACNGACGCUCAGACACGAAGGCUAGGGUAGCGAAAGGGAUUAGAUACCCCUGUAGUCCUAGCAGUAAACGGUGCUCGCUUGGUGUGGGAGGAUUCGACCCCUUCUGU